RNAcentral lists this ribosomal RNA (433 nucleotides) under uncultured bacterium. RNAcentral describes it as "partial 16S ribosomal RNA". It matches the Rfam family "Bacterial small subunit ribosomal RNA", at positions 29 to 507 of the family's 1533-position model. The record is from RNAcentral.
AACGAACGCUGGCGGCAUGCCUAACACAUGCAAGUCGAACGAGUCCUUCGGGUCUAGUGGCGCACGGGUGCGUAACGCGUGGGAACCUGCCCUUAGGUUCGGAAUAACUCCCCGAAAGGGGUGCUAAUACCGGAUAAUGUCUUCGGACCAAAGAUUUAUCGCCUUUGGAUGGGCCCGCGUUGGAUUAGCUAGUUGGUAGGGUAAAAGCCUACCAAGGCGACGAUCCAUAGCUGGUCUGAGAGGAUGAUCAGCCACACUGGGACUGAGACACGGCCCAGACUCCUACGGGAGGCAGCAGUGGGGAAUAUUGGACAAUGGGCGAAAGCCUGAUCCAGCAAUGCCGCGUGAGUGAUGAAGGCCUUAGGGUUGUAAAGCUCUUUUACCCGGGAUGAUAAUGACAGUACCGGGAGAAUAAGCGCCGGCUAACUCCGUG